AUGAAUGAAACCACAACGAAAGGCAACCGUCGCCGGGAGCCGGCCGCCCCAAACCCUGCUGCUGUGCCGGGACCGGGGAAGCUCUUCUCAUCCUCUGUGCCCUCGGCCCGGGAGCCCGGUCUGAGCUCGCCCGGGGCCCCGACGGCUUUAGCCGGGGACCUCCGCCUCGCCGUGGCGACCAGCGCUGGCCGGGGGAGGUGGCGGGGGCUGCCCCCGUCGCCCCGCCGCGGGGUCCCGGAGCCGAGCCCGGCGAGCGGGGCGAUGCUGCGGCCGCGGGAGAGGGGGCAGUGCAGCCCCAGGAACCGAGCGGGGACGGAGGCCCCUGGCUCCAGGGAGGGCUCCGGCCUCGGAGCCGAGCCCCCGGGCUUCUCCCGCUUCCUCCCUUCCCGCUCCGGCCCGCCUCCCUCCCUUUUUUCUUUUUAUUAUUAUUUUUUUCCGUUUAGGGCUAAACAAAAGUUUUGUCCUCAAAGUCAAGCGGCAGGAUGCGGUGGUUUUUCUCCCUCCCUAAACCAAGGAGAGCUGAGCCUCCGGAGCGAAGAUGCCCCGAAGGGAGUGAGGGCAGGCAGGAGAAGAACGGCGUGCUCAGGCCGAGGGCCCUGUGGCGAGGCUCGCAGGGUCCCCAGCCUUUUUUGCACGCUCUCCGCUAGUGCAUCCUCAGCUCGGAACAUAUAGAAGAAGAAGAAAAAACAACCAAGAGAAUGACCAAAGUCCCCCUGGAGGUGUGACUCUCCCUACAAAUGCCAGGGCUAUCUGAGCCCCGUGCUCCGACUGCGCCUGUUUACUUCUCUGUGCAGUGAUGCAGUCCUGCUGGCUCACCUUCCAGCUGUUGCAACAGACAGCCACAUCCUGAGACUCUUCCUCCGUCUGUCUUACUUCAGACUGAAGCACUUUCCCGCUUACUGGAGUGGGGACAGGUUAAAACUGGGUCAAGAGAAAGUGCAAAGGCUUCGAGCUGUGCUGGCGACACAGGCAGACCAAAUGCUGGGUGUAGCUCUGGACUGAGAGAGGGGUACACACCCGAGAGAGAAGGAGAUCAUGAUGGGUUUGGUCAAUAUAUGGGUCCAAGACUUCUCUAAGCAGUUUUGAAAACAGAGAAUGGUGAAAUACAGGGAUGAGGCCAAAGAAAUGCAAGUAGCUCCUUUCCAGCUCCUCUUCCUUCUGACACCUCCUCGUCUGGUUAAAGCUGAUGUGCAGGACAAGUCUUCAACAGGCAGUGACUGUAACCUUAAGUGUUUCUAAGGUACGUCAAAAGAGAGGAGAAUUUGGAAAAAAACAAAAACAAAAACAAAAACAUAAUUUCAUUAAAAUAUUGAGGAGUGCACGGUAUGCUGUCUCAAGAAAAUGAGAUACGCAGUAUUUCAGUAAAUCAGAUAACAUUCAUACAAGAACAACUUAGAAGAAUGUGACUACACUGGAUAUUUAGGCUGAUUUUUACCAUGUUUGACAACUGCUUUAAAGAGAAAUCAGAAUUUUAGGGAGAUAUUUUCAUUUCCUAUGUGCAUAGCAAAAGGAUUUUGAGGUGCAGAGGUCAGUCAUUUUGUUAAAGGGUGUGGUGCUAUAGAUCAAAAUGUUAUAUCAUGGCAUUAAAUUUGUUUCAUUACAAACUCUAAUCACUAUCAGGUUGUUAUGAUUCCUACUGGAGAACAACUUUGAAAAAUAAACCAAGUCCUGAUAGCA
Anser brachyrhynchus (Pink-footed goose) is the source of this 1677-nucleotide long non-coding RNA. The record is from Ensembl. Lineage: Eukaryota; Metazoa; Chordata; Aves; Anseriformes; Anatidae.